This 452-nucleotide ribosomal RNA is filed under the name uncultured bacterium. Its description in RNAcentral is "bacterial SSU rRNA". It matches the Rfam family "Bacterial small subunit ribosomal RNA", at positions 328 to 793 of the family's 1533-position model. The record is from RNAcentral.
CUACCAGACUCCUACGGGAGGCAGCAGUGGGGAAUAUUGCACAAUGGGCGAAAGCCUGAUGCAGCAACGCCGCGUGAAGGAAGAAGGGUUUCGGCUCGUAAACUUCUAUCAACAGGGACGAAAGAAAUGACGGUACCUGAAUAAGAAGCCCCGGCUAACUACGUGCCAGCAGCCGCGGGAAUACGUAGGGGGCAAGCGUUAUCCGGAAUUACUGGGUGUAAAGGGUGAGUAGGCGGCAUGGUAAGCCAGAUGUGAAAGCCUUGGGCUUAACCCGAGGAUUGCAUUUGGAACUAUCAAGCUGGAGUACAGGAGAGGAAAGCGGAAUUCCUAGUGUAGCGGUGAAAUGCGUAGAUAUUAGGAAGAACACCAGUGGCGAAGGCGGCCUGCUGGACUGCAACUGACGUUGAGGCUCGAAGGCGUGGGGAGCAAACAGGAUUAGAUCCCCGCGUAAG